GGAGGAGGGGGAGGAGAAGGAAGAAAAAGAAGUGGAGGAGGAGGAGGAGGAAGAAGAAGGGCAGUUCAGCCGGCGCCCCAGGCUCCCCGCGCUGCGCUCAAUUCGGGCGCACGCUGCGCUCCGCUCGGGCGCACUGUGCGCCCCUCCCUUCUCCCCCUCCUCUCUUCCGUCCCCCUAGAUCCCUCUCUUCUCGCCUCUGUCCCCCCUCCCUUCUUCUCUUCCCUCCUCCCUUCCCCUCGCCUGCCCGGCCCGGCCCGGCCCGGCAGGCGUCCACCUGACAGCCGCAUUCAUCCUGUGAUGAUGGCUGGCCAUGGAUGAUGGGUACCUUUAAUAAUAGAGCGCUCCCUCAGCUGUCACCCGGCAAGCACGAUUUCUCCUCCCGCUUCCCGCGAUGCAGAGAUACAUCGGUCACUGUAGUCUAUGGGGCAGUCCUGUUGGGUAGUGAAGAGUCCUGAGCUGAGGAAGUCAGGAGGCCUGGAUUCCGCUGUGUCUUCUACCGCCAACUAUCUAUGUGACCUUGGGCAAGUUGUUGAGGUCUAGUGUGAUGGAAAGAAUGUAGGACUUGGAAUCAGGAGAGACCAGCAUCGAAAUCCCACUUCUGCAACUUAGAGUGACCAUGGCCAGGUGGACAGCCAGAGUGCUCCACUGGUAUCCUGAAGACGUCAGAAGAGAGGCCCCCUAAGGGGCCCCAGCCAAUGCUCAGAUCCCAACGUUCUCUCUUCCAUUGAUAGGAUCCCCAAACUGGACCACACCGUGCUUAGAGAUCUGUGAGAUUAGAGAACUGAGAAAGUGGGCCUUGGUCUUCUUCUCCAUGAAGCUGUCCUUUGGAGGCCCCCAUCUCCACAUGGCAGACAGGACAGGGACUAUAAAUUCCAUUUUAGAGUCAAUGAAACCAAUAUUGAGAGAAGUUACAUAA
This is a non-coding RNA of Phascolarctos cinereus (koala), 916 nucleotides long. The record is from RefSeq and is a predicted model, not a curated record. NCBI's taxonomy places the organism in Eukaryota, Metazoa, Chordata, Mammalia, Diprotodontia, Phascolarctidae.